This is a small nucleolar RNA of Thalassophryne amazonica, 73 nucleotides long. RefSeq annotates it as small nucleolar RNA SNORD101. The transcript has a single exon. The record is from RefSeq and is a predicted model, not a curated record. Lineage: Eukaryota; Metazoa; Chordata; Actinopteri; Batrachoidiformes; Batrachoididae.
GCUUGAAUGAUGAUCUGUCUUUAGUCGGAUACCCCUUCACUCUCCAAUGAGUGAGAUCUUCAUCCUGACAAGC